GUAGGUGGCAGGCGUUGUCCGGAAUUAUUGGGCGUAAAGCGCGCGCAGGUGGUUCUUUAAGUCUGAUGUGAAAGCCCCCGGCUCAACCGGGGAGGGUCAUUGGAAACUGGGGAACUUGAGUGCGGGAGAGGAAAGUGGAAUUCCACGUGUAGCGGUGAAAUGCGUAGAUAUGUGGAGGAACACCAGUGGCGAAGGCGACUUUCUGGCCUGUAACUGACACUGAGGCGCGAAAGCGUGGGGAGCAAACAGGGAUUAGAUACCCUGGUAGUCCACGCCGUAAACGAUGAGUGCUAAGUGUUGGGGGGGUUUCCCGCCCCUCAGUGCUGCAGCUAACGCAUUAAGCACUCCGCCUGGGGAGUACGGUCGCAAGACUG
Molecule: ribosomal RNA, 374 nt
Filed under: uncultured organism
Description: partial 16S ribosomal RNA
Rfam family: Bacterial small subunit ribosomal RNA
Source: RNAcentral